UGCUUCGGGGAUGGUGGCGCUUCUGCUCCUCGUGCGGGAGGAUGAUGCAAAAUCGUGGAUGAAGUUCGGGAACUCCUGGUCUUGACCGACGCCCUCUGCUCCGGUCCCCGACACAGCAACCAGAUCGUGGGUGCCAUCCUGCCCUAAGGUUACAUGCACUACCUGUCUCUCCUUGAUCUGAUCUCUCAAAGUCCCGAUCUAUUUCAGCAAAACUAUCUUCUAUCUAUUUGAUACUCUUUUUUGGUAAACAGUUUUAACCUAUUGUAAUUGCUCUCAUUCUGGAGCGAGGUCACUAUUGACAAGUCAUUGCAGUGCUACUACCGCAUUAAUCUUAGCAGUGAAGCUAUGGUCUGUUCUUUGGUACAACAAUGAAAUGUUAAUAUGCCAUUCUCCUUUAUGCUUUGUGUCAGUGCACUGUGGUAUGACACCAACACUUAUUUGGCACCUACAUUGCAUCGACAAUUUGCCAGCUUACAGUUUGUACCAUCGAGAAUUUGCACGACUUUACACCUGCAGCUGUACCACUAUACUAUAAAUAUGUUUUGAUGUCUAAACUGGUGUUGGUACUGAACCUGAUAGUGUAUUUGGCGUAUCUUUUCUGUAGAAUUAGUACCAGAGUUCUAUUUGUAGUAUUAUUAAUAGUAAAGAGAUAAUUAGACCAUAGAGUCGCUUUUGAUUUGGUUUAUUCCUUCAGAUCAUGCAAUAGAUGUAAGCACACAUUUAAGUACUUUAUCUUAUUACAAAAACUGAACAAAGAUAUACCAGCAAUACGUUUCAUGACGUAGUGUUAUCUGUGCAAGAAAAUUGCUUGAAUGAUUAUUAAUCAAUAUAAGCAAUCUAUCAUGUAGGUUUUGUUCGAUCCUACACUUAAAGAAAAUCAUACUGAAGAUCUGAGCUUAAGUGUUCCAACAGCUGAAGCACCAGCUCAAGAUGAAAGGAUCCUCUUAAUAUGAUUGUAGGUCCAUUCCUGUAAAGUGCAGUUAGAAUAUGGAAUCCACCUGGAACUUGGUUUUAAAAACAGAAAGCAUAUGGAAUUUUGAGGUUUCUGCUUUCUAUGUGAGUAUCUUGGUGCAUGCUUGUUUCUGAAUAAAAUGCAGAGGUCAUGAACAAAUUAAAACAUGCUCUCUGAUGGGCAAGGGUAGGUUUAUUUUUAGUUGAAGUGGUAUCAGUUGUAUACUUAUAUACACGCCAUUUGAAAAAUAGUAUGUAUCUCCUUGCAAACUACUACGUAUUAUUUAAAUGUUUUACAUAAGACUGUCCGUCCAGAUACAAUAACUAUUUAGUAUUUUAAUAACUUGAAUUGCACGGCUUGAUCGCUCUGCUUGGGUCUUCUCUUAUGUAUGAGUCACCAUGUGCGGGUUAAAUAAGUGCCCCAGCUUCGGUGAUGCACGGGCGAGGCAACACGAUUUGGUGCAGUGGCCCUCCUUCCAAGAAAUCAAGUUUUUACGUUCAGAUUUUAGAGCUCUUGAGUUUCAGCUUAGUUCAAGGAUAUAAAAGCAUACUCCUUAUGGAUUCAACGAGGAAGACCAUUAGCCACCACCUUUUUAGAAUUGGAUGGUGUGGUGCACCUUCAUCCUGCUGUCCAAUUUCUUAGCUUAUUUGCUUUAAAUGUACUACAGUAUAUAGCAGUAUAAGGAUCCAAUCUUGUGACGCCUCUCCAUUUGCACCAUCGUCAAAAGUUGCACAUGAGUUGAUUCAGACUUUCAGAGUUUUCAUAGAACACCUAGAGUUAAUCAGCCUGAAGGUAUAUCAGAUCCUAUGGAAAGGGGAUCCGGUUCAGAUUUGUCACUACUGUGUGUUGUUGGAUAGCCAUGGUGUGUAUUAGUUUGUUUUUACCACAGUUCGGUUCUUGGUAGUUAGGAUAUCAGGUGUAUACAUUACUUUUCUUAUGAAUUUUUUCUCUUUUAGUGCACUAUCUAUCUAUCUAUCUAUCUAUCUAUCUAUCUAUCUAUCUAAGUUUUCAAAGAAAUUGAUGGCGGUGGCUCAGAGGCGUCGUGGUGAAUGGUGAAGCUUCUAAAAUGGAUGGAAGAGAGGUGGUGACUUGCGGCUGGGAGACGUACAUAUUUGAGGAGAUACGAUUCAUAAGGUUUCAUAUUAACAAAAAAUGAUGAUCUUUGUAAAGUAAUCCGAACAUUUUGUUGAUUCUGGGACAAUUUUAUUCUCCAAUAUGAAUCCGUAAGAAAAGAUAUGACAAUACAUUUGUGCAAAUUGAUAAUGUAAGCUCAUCUCGGAACUUUAUUCUUUUUCUAAGAUUGAUUUACUUGGUGGUGCUAGCUUCCAUUCUGUCAAAACAGGACAUGUGUGCUAUUUCUGAAAAAGGAAGCUUCUCUGUUGGCUGGCAUCCCUGAUGGUGCCUUUAGAUAUGUAGGAAAAGAAAUGGUAUCUCAUAAUUCACUGGAUGUAGACCAGUAGGGUCAAUUACAAAUUGUUGGCUGUAAAUUACUUUCAGUUUCUAGCUUUCAUAAAAAAAUUAGACAUGUACUGUUUAAUUAAAAUUGUGUGAGUAUGUUGUGGUUGAUGGUGGUCCUAUGUGCUGGUUCAAAUUAUCAUGUUGGAUAAUAUUGCUUUUACUAGCAGUUGCAGUGCUCUUAUUAUUAUUUUUCACAAAUAUCAUCAUGUUUUGCUAUUGAUGUAAUGCUAUAUUCUUUGACUGAAAUCAAACCCUUUAGUUGCUAUUUUGGUGCUUUUAUUAUUGUGUGUGUAUUCAAUAAUGGCUUCAGUUUCAAUUAAAAUCGUUAACUGGACUGCCAUGAUUGCGGUGGCGUAUUAUUCGGCAAAAAGUAUGUUGCCUUUUAAUAUUUU
This 2802-nucleotide long non-coding RNA is filed under the name Triticum aestivum (bread wheat). RNAcentral's name for it is "long non-coding RNA (TAES_LNC020779)". The record is from RNAcentral. Lineage: Eukaryota; Viridiplantae; Streptophyta; Magnoliopsida; Poales; Poaceae.